GACGAACGCUGGCGGCGUGCUUAACACAUGCAAGUCGAGCGGUAAGGCCCUUUCGGGGGUACACGGAGCGGCGAACGGGUGAGUAACACGUGGGUGACCUGCCUUUAGCUCUGGGAUAAGCCUGGGAAACCGGGUCUAAUACCGGGAUAUGGACUCCGCGGCGCAUGUUGUGGGGUGGAAAGCCUUGUGCGGCUGGAGAU
Molecule: ribosomal RNA, 200 nt
Filed under: uncultured bacterium
Lineage: Bacteria
Description: partial 16S ribosomal RNA
Rfam family: Bacterial small subunit ribosomal RNA
Source: RNAcentral